RNAcentral lists this transfer RNA (77 nucleotides) under Escherichia coli. RNAcentral's name for it is "tRNA-Val". It matches the Rfam family "tRNA". Rfam says of the family: Transfer RNA (tRNA) molecules are approximately 80 nucleotides in length. Their secondary structure includes four short double-helical elements and three loops (D, anti-codon, and T loops). Lineage: Bacteria; Pseudomonadati; Pseudomonadota; Gammaproteobacteria; Enterobacterales; Enterobacteriaceae. The record is from RNAcentral.
GCGUCCGUAGCUCAGUUGGUUAGAGCACCACCUUGACAUGGUGGGGGUCGGUGGUUCGAGUCCACUCGAACGCACCA